GGGGAGUAAAAUCCUGGAUGGCCAAAAGCAAAGAAGCAACUCGUGGCUUUGGUGAUGUUGUAGCCCGGAAUACCGACCAAUCCGCAAGCUCCUGUUUAUUCAGUCUCGCACGAUGGGGUCUGGCCGUCGCCCCAUUCAGACUGAUUUAUCAUCCAGCUUUUUAUUGAAAAGCGUUUGAUAUGAGAUAUGAUAUUGCUGACACUGACGUGGACAUCAGGUGUGUCGAAUCUGCUGUCGAGACCAAAGAUAUGUACUUUACUCUCAUAGAGGAGCAAAAGAAACCAGAAAAUAUUCACAUUUAAGAAGCUAAAAUCAGAGAAUUUGGAUUUUCCCCCAAUCAAAACCAAUUCAUUAAAUAUAGUUGGCGAUUAAUUUAGUCGUUGAUGAUUUAUUGAUUAAUCGAUUAACUGUAGCAGCUCUAAUUCCAGACCUUGAGCACCUCAGCUGAGAAACUCCGUCGAGCGGGUUUUUUUCUCCUGGAUAUUGCGGAUAAUCCUGUUUUCACGACAUAAGCAGCUGUGGGGCUUUUAUGGAAAAAUGUCCCCACUUUUCCGACCUUCCCCCAGGAGGCAGGAUACCUGGUUGAGUGAGACUGCCUUCCUGACUGAGAGCACCACUCAAAGAAUCCAGACUGUGGCUCCAAUCCAGUUGCCCUCUUUAAUAGAUUCACAGUGUUAUAUUAGAAGUAAGAAGAUUGAGGCUGCGGUCACAGCGGUAUUUCAACUUGAAUGGCACUCAGUAAAGCACAUAUGCCUCUGCCAAGGCCCAACAGUCCCUCAAUCAAGUCGCACCAAAUUGCACACACUCAUAAAAAUCAGUCUCUUGAAUAUUGCCAGAUUUUGUUUCCCCCAUCAAGAUCCCUGGGAAAUUGGUGAAAAUGUACAAUAAAAAUCAGCACAAAAAUGUAAUGUUUUUAUUUCUUGGCCCAUGUCCCAUCAAGUUUCGUGGAAAUCUUUUCAGUUGUUUUUGCAUCGAACAAACGGGAAAACAAGGGCGGCAACCUCCUCAGUUGACGUGAUAACAAGAAAUUUCUGCCUGACAUAAUCACUUAAUUUGGACGGAAUAGUGGCAAUCGGUUGAUUUGUUCCAUCGGUCAUUACAAUCCUUCUUGAAAGUGCUGAAAAAGAAGAAAGAAAAAAAUAAAUAAAGGAAGGAAGGAAGCCAUCGUACCAGCACUAAAACAUCUUUUUUUUUAGGAGAUCGUGUGUUUUAUAAUCCACCCACCUUCGUAUUCUUGCUCUGGUUUAAUGUUGUAUGUAAUGUUGCACUAUUCUUUUCUUCCUGGUCCAUGAGAAACAACAUUUCAUGCAGCCGUUCACUUUGUGUGAGGAUGAAUGACAGUGAAGUUAACUUGACUUUAGUUGAAGGGUUUGAGUUUGAAAAUAGAGUAGAACCCCCGUAAAUAGUCAGCGUGUCACCGACAAGCAGCACCACGAGGAUGGACUAAUGAACUUUCUGGUUUGCUAUACUUAAGAGCGCUGGCAUCAUAAUUUAAACACAUUCACGACAAAGCAAUCGAUCAGAGAUGCACCAAAAAGAAACGAAACAAAAUUGAUAACAAAAUCAAAAGAUUAAAAGACGAAUUUGCUACUGGCCCCAGAUGAAUAGCGCUCACAAACUUUGUUCCACGACCGCUGUAGUAAA
This 1644-nucleotide long non-coding RNA is filed under the name Scophthalmus maximus (turbot). RNAcentral describes it as "lncRNA (ENSSMAG00000027363.1)". The record is from RNAcentral. Lineage: Eukaryota; Metazoa; Chordata; Actinopteri; Pleuronectiformes; Scophthalmidae.